This 252-nucleotide ribosomal RNA is filed under the name uncultured bacterium. RNAcentral's name for it is "partial 16S ribosomal RNA". It matches the Rfam family "Bacterial small subunit ribosomal RNA", at positions 524 to 776 of the family's 1533-position model. The record is from RNAcentral.
UACGUAGGUCCCGAGCGUUGUCCGGAUUUAUUGGGCGUAAAGCGAGCGCAGGUGGUUUGUUAAGUCUGGUGUAAAGGGCAGUGGCUCAACCAUUGUAUGCAUUGGAAACUGGUAGACUUGAGUGCAGGAGAGGAGAGUGGAAUUCCAUGUGUAGCGGUGAAAUGCGUAGAUAUAUGGAGGAACACCGGUGGCGAAAGCGGCUCUCUGGCCUGUAACUGACACUGAGGCUCGAAAGCGUGGGGAGCAAACAGG